AGAGUUUGAUCCUGGCUCAGGAUGAACGCUGGCGGCGUGCCUAAUACAUGCAAGUCGAGCGAACGGAUAAGGAGCUUGCUCCUUUGAAGUUAGCGGCGGACGGGUGAGUAACACGUGGGUAACCUACCUAUAAGACUGGAAUAACUUCGGGAAACCGGAGCUAAUGCCGGAUAACAUUUGGAACCGCAUGGUUCUAAAGUAAAAGAUGGUUUUGCUAUCACUUAUAGAUGGACCCGCGCCGUAUUAGCUAGUUGGUAAGGUAACGGCUUACCAAGGCAACGAUACGUAGCCGACCUGAGAGGGUGAUCGGCCACACUGGAACUGAGACACGGUCCAGACUCCUACGGGAGGCAGCAGUAGGGAAUCUUCCGCAAUGGACGAAAGUCUGACGGAGCAACGCCGCGUGAGUGAUGAAGGUUUUCGGAUCGUAAAACUCUGUUAUUAGGGAAGAACAAAUGUGUAAGUAACUGUGCACAUCUUGACGGUACCUAAUCAGAAAGCCACGGCUAACUACGUGCCAGCAGCCGCGGUAAUACGUAGGUGGCAAGCGUUAUCCGGAAUUAUUGGGCGUAAAGCGCGCGUAGGCGGUUUCUUAAGUCUGAUGUGAAAGCCCACGGCUCAACCGUGGAGGGUCAUUGGAAACUGGGAAACUUGAGUACAGAAGAGGAAAGUGGAAUUCCAUGUGUAGCGGUGAAAUGCGCAGAGAUAUGGAGGAACACCAGUGGCGAAGGCGACUUUCUGGUCUGUAACUGACGCUGAUGUGCGAAAGCGUGGGGAUCAAACAGGAUUAGAUACCCUGGUAGUCCACGCCGUAAACGAUGAGUGCUAAGUGUUAGGGGGUUUCCGCCCCUUAGUGCUGCAGCUAACGCAUUAAGCACUCCGCCUGGGGAGUACGACCACAAGGUUGAAACUCAAAGGAAUUGACGG
This 927-nucleotide ribosomal RNA is filed under the name uncultured Staphylococcus sp. Its description in RNAcentral is "bacterial SSU rRNA". It matches the Rfam family "Bacterial small subunit ribosomal RNA", at positions 8 to 916 of the family's 1533-position model. The record is from RNAcentral. Lineage: Bacteria; Bacillati; Bacillota; Bacilli; Caryophanales; Staphylococcaceae.